GGCUCAGGACGAACGCUGGCGGCGUGCCUAAUACAUGCAAGUCGAGCGGACGAAUUUAUUGGUGCUUGCACCUUUAAUUUUCGUUAGCGGCGGACGGGUGAGUAACACGUGGGUAACCUACCUUAUAGAUUGGGAUAACUCCGGGAAACCGGGGCUAAUACCGAAUAACACUUUUAAACACAUGUUUGGAAGUUGAAAGACGGUUUUGCUGUCACUAUAAGAUGGACCCGCGGCGCAUUAGCUAGUUGGUGAGGUAAUGGCUCACCAAGGCCACGAUGCGUAGCCGACCUGAGAGGGUGAUCGGCCACACUGGGACUGAGACACGGCCCAGACUCCUACGGGAGGCAGCAGUAGGGAAUCUUCCACAAUGGACGAAAGUCUGAUGGAGCAACGCCGCGUGAGUGAAGAAGGAUCUCGGUUCGUAAACUCUGUUGCAAGGGAAG
Molecule: ribosomal RNA, 443 nt
Filed under: uncultured prokaryote
Description: bacterial SSU rRNA
Rfam family: Bacterial small subunit ribosomal RNA
Source: RNAcentral